RNAcentral lists this ribosomal RNA (798 nucleotides) under Trichodorus sp. JZ-2010. RNAcentral describes it as "eukaryotic LSU rRNA". It matches the Rfam family "Eukaryotic large subunit ribosomal RNA", at positions 344 to 964 of the family's 3401-position model. Lineage: Eukaryota; Metazoa; Nematoda; Enoplea; Triplonchida; Trichodoridae. The record is from RNAcentral.
ACAAGUACCGUGAGGGAAAGUUGAAAAGAACUUAGAGGUGAGAGUUCAACAGGGCGUGAAACCGCUUAGAAGUAAACGGAUGGUGCUGACAUUGUUUCUGCCGGAUUCAGCCGGCCUGAUGGCUGAUCGUUUGUGCGUCGAUCGCAAGACGGCGUACAGAGUGUCCACGGCCUAGGGCUGGUGCAUUUUCGGUAGAAUGCAUCAUGACCGUUGACGACGCUGGCAUAAGGCCGGUUGGUUGCCGUCUGCAGGUUUUCGGACUUGCAGUGCCCCACUAGCCGUGUCCUGUCCAGGUUGGCGUCAACGGAUAACUGGACGUGCCCGAUUCUCUCGUCUUCUGUUUUACACUGGCUGAUUGAAUCGCUAGGCCGUGCUUGCACGGCUGGGCAACCCUCAGUCUUUGUAGGGCGGUCGUACGAGUUGGCACUGAAGGUCUAUGGUGUCCGCGUCAGUCCCCCAUCCGACCCGUCUUGAAACACGGACCAAGGAGUCUAACAUGUGCGCAAGUCAUGGGGUGGAAAACCCAAAGGCGUAAUGAAAGUAAAGGCCCGCAAGGGCUGAGGUGUGAUGUUCAGUUCUACUGGACCGCAACACCGUCCCAUCGCAUCGGCUUGUCCGGGCGGUGGAGAAAGAGCGUACACGUUAGGACCCGAAAGAUGGUGAACUAUGCCUGAGCAGGAUGAAGCCAGAGGAAACUCUGGUGGAGGUCCGUAGCGGUUCUGACGUGCAAAUCGAUCGUCAGACUUGGGUAUAGGGGCGAAAGACUAAUCGAACCAUCUAGUAGCUGGUUCCUUCCGA